UACUCGAGUGGCGAACGGGUGAGUAACACGUGGGUGAUCUGCCCUGCACUUCGGGAUAAGCUUGGGAAACUGGGUCUAAUACCGGAUAGGAACCAUCUUUAGUGUGGUGGUCGGAAAGUUUUUUCGGUGUAGGAUGAGCUCGCGGCCUAUCAGCUUGUUGGUGGGGUAAUGGCCUACCAAGGCGGCGACGGGUAGCCGGCCUGAGAGGGUGUACGGCCACAUUGGGACUGAGAUACGGCCCAGACUCCUACGGGAGGCAGCAGUGGGGAAUAUUGCACAAUGGGCGCAAGCCUGAUGCAGCGACGCCGCGUGGGGGAUGAAGGCCUUCGGGUUGUAAACUCCUUUCGCUAGGGACGAAGCUUUUUGUGACGGUACCUAGAUAAGAAGCACCGGCUAACUACGUGCCAGCAGCCGCGGUAAUACGUAGGGUGCGAGCGUUGUCCGGAAUUACUGGGCGUAAAGGGCUCGUAGGUGGUUUGUCGCGUCGUCUGUGAAAUUCUGGGGCUUAAUCUCCGGGCGUGCAGGCGAUACGGGCAUAACUUGAGUGCUGUAGGGGUAACUGGAAUUCCUGGUGUAGCGGUGAAAUGCGCAGAUAUCAGGAGGAACACCGAUGGCGAAGGCAGGUUACUGGGCAGUUACUGACGCUGAGGAGCGAAAGCAUGGGUAGCGAACAGGA
This 676-nucleotide ribosomal RNA is filed under the name uncultured Actinomycetales bacterium. RNAcentral's name for it is "bacterial SSU rRNA". It matches the Rfam family "Bacterial small subunit ribosomal RNA", at positions 88 to 777 of the family's 1533-position model. The record is from RNAcentral. Lineage: Bacteria; Bacillati; Actinomycetota; Actinomycetes; Actinomycetales.